This 1021-nucleotide ribosomal RNA is filed under the name Ferrisia gilli. RNAcentral's name for it is "large subunit ribosomal RNA". Lineage: Eukaryota; Metazoa; Arthropoda; Insecta; Hemiptera; Pseudococcidae. The record is from RNAcentral.
AUAGAAAUAAAUAAAAAUAAAAUUUAAAUAAAAAUAAUUAAAUUUUUAUUCUUUUUGUAUUAAGAUUUUAUAAAUAAUAAAUUAAAUAAUAUUUUUAUAAAUAAUAAGAAUUAUUUUAUUUAAAUAUUUAAUAUAUAAAAAUUAUUAUAAAAAAUAAAAUAGUUUAGAUAAUAAAUUCAAUUAUUAGUAAAUAAAUUUAUAUUAAAUUAAUUUAAUUAAAAAUUUUUAAUUAAUUAAAAAUUAAAUAUUUAUAAAGUUAAGUUUAUAAAUAAGUUAAAUAUAAAAUAAAGUAAAAUAUGUAAUAUAAUUAAAACUUUUAAUUUUAAAUUUAAUUAUAAUUUAAUAUUAAUCUUAUAUAAAUUUAAUUAAUAAUAAAUAAUAUAAAAAAUAAAAAAAUAAAUAAUUUAUAUAUAUAAUAUAAAAAUUAGUAGUUAAAAUUAUUUAAAAAUAUGAAUUAGGCAAUAUAAUUUUUAUUUGUUUAAUAAAAACAUAGUUUAAAGAAUUUAAUUUUAAAUAUAUUCUGCUCAAUGAUUAAUUAAAUAGCUGCAGUAUAUUAACUGUACAAAGGUAGCAAAAUAAUUUGUAUUUUAAUUGAAUAAUGGAAUGAAUGAAUAAAUAAAAAAUUAACUUUAUUUUUUUAAAUUAAUGAAUUUUAUAUUUAAGUAAAAAAGCUUAAAUAAUUUUAAAAGACGAAAAGACCCUAAAAAUUUAAUAUUGAAUUAAUAUUUAUUUGGGGUAAAUAUAAUAGAAAAAUUUAUUAAAUUUUUUAAAAAUAAAUUAAAUUUAAAAUUACUUUAGGGAUAACAGGAUAAUUAAAUUUAAUAGAUUAAAUUAAAAAUUUAGAUUAUUACCUCGAUGUUGAAUUAAUUAAACUUAUUAAAAUAGAGAUUAAUUAAGUUAGUUUGUUCAACUAUUAAAUAAUUACAUGAUUUGAGUUAAGAUCGAUGUAAAUUAGAUUGGUUUUUAUCUUUAAUUUAUUUAUUAAUUUAGUACGAAAGGAUUAAUUAAUUUUUUAAGAAAU